Non-coding RNA from Pelobates cultripes (western spadefoot toad), 107 nucleotides. The record is from the annotation of a GenBank genome assembly. Lineage: Eukaryota; Metazoa; Chordata; Amphibia; Anura; Pelobatidae.
AAUUACGGCCAUACCAGUCUGAAAGUGCCUGAUCUCGUCAGAUCUUAGAAGCCAUCCAGACUCGGCCUGGUUAGCACUUGUAUGGGAGAUAAAAUUAGUCUUACUUU